AGUGAACGCUGGCGGCAGGCCUAACACAUGCAAGUCGAACGGCAGCACAGUAAGAGCUUGCUCUUACGGGUGGCGAGUGGCGGACGGGUGAGGAAUAAAUCGGAUUCUUCUUUUUCUUGGGUGAUAACGUAGGAAAACUUAUGCUAACACCGCAUAUGACGUACGGGUGAAAGCAGGGGUUCUUCGGACUCUGCGCGAUUGAAAUAGCCGACUACGGAGUAGCUAGUUGGCGGGGUAAAGGCACACCAAGGCAACGAUCCGUAGCUGGUCUGAGAGGAUGAUCAGCCACACUGGAACUGAGACACGGUCCAGACUCCUACGGGAGGCAGCAGUAGGGAAUAUUGCACAAUGGGCGCAAGCCUGAUCGAGCCAUACCGCGUGAGUGAAGAAGGCCUUCGGGUUGUAAAGCCCUUUUGUUGGGAAAGAAAAGAAGCAGAUUAAUCCCCCGCUGUUCUGACGGUACCCAAAGAAUAAGCACCGGCUAACUUCGUG
Molecule: ribosomal RNA, 492 nt
Filed under: uncultured bacterium
Lineage: Bacteria
Description: partial 16S ribosomal RNA
Rfam family: Bacterial small subunit ribosomal RNA
Source: RNAcentral